This 272-nucleotide ribosomal RNA is filed under the name uncultured bacterium. RNAcentral describes it as "partial 16S ribosomal RNA". It matches the Rfam family "Bacterial small subunit ribosomal RNA", at positions 83 to 353 of the family's 1533-position model. The record is from RNAcentral.
UUUAGAUGGCGACCGGCGCACGGGUGAGUAACACGUAUCCGACCUGCCGAUGACUCGGGGAUAGCCUUUCGAAAGAAAGAUUAAUACCCGAUGGCAUAGUUCUUCCGCAUGGUAGAGCUAUUAAAGAAUUUCGGUCAUCGAUGGGGAUGCGUUCCAUUAGGUUGUUGGCGGGGUAACGGCCCACCAAGCCUUCGAUGGAUAGGGGUUCUGAGAGGAAGGUCCCCCACCAUUGGAACUGAGACACGGUCCAAACUCCUACGGGAGGCAGCAUG